AGUGAACGCUGGCGGUAGGCCUAACACAUGCAAGUCGAACGGCAGCACAGGAGAGCUUGCUCUCUGGGUGGCGAGUGGCGGACGGGUGAGGAAUACAUCGGAAUCUACUCUGUCGUGGGGGAUAACGUAGGGAAACUUACGCUAAUACCGCAUACGACCUACGGGUGAAAGCAUGGGACCUUCGGGCCUUGCGCGAUUGAAUGAGCCGAUGUCGGAUUAGCUAGUUGGCGGGGUAAAGGCCCACCAAGGCGACGAGCCGUAGCUGGUCUGAGAGGAUGAUCAGCCACACUGGAACUGAGACACGGUCCAGACUCCUACGGGAGGCAGCAGUGGGGAAUAUUGGACAAUGGGCGCAAGCCUGAUCCAGCCAUACCGCGUGGGUGAAGAAGGCCUUCGGGUUGUAAAGCCCUUUUGUUGGGAAAGAAAUCCAGCCGGCUAAUACCCGGUUGGGAUGACGGUACCCAAAGAAUAAGCACCGGCUAACUUCGUGCCAGCCGCCGCGGUAA
Molecule: ribosomal RNA, 506 nt
Filed under: uncultured bacterium
Lineage: Bacteria
Description: partial 16S ribosomal RNA
Rfam family: Bacterial small subunit ribosomal RNA
Source: RNAcentral